Molecule: ribosomal RNA, 492 nt
Filed under: uncultured bacterium
Lineage: Bacteria
Description: bacterial SSU rRNA
Rfam family: Bacterial small subunit ribosomal RNA
Source: RNAcentral
GACGAACGCUGGCGGCGUGCCUAAUACAUGCAAGUCGAACGCACUCUCGUUUAGAUUGAAGGAGCUUGCUCCUGAUUGAUAAACAUUUGAGUGAGUGGCGGACGGGUGAGUAACACGUGGGUAACCUGCCCUAAAGUGGGGGAUAACAUUUGGAAACAGAUGCUAAAUACCGCAUAAAACCUAACACCGCAUGGUGUAGGGUUGAAAGAUGGUUUCGGCUAUCACUUUAGGAUGGACCCGCGGUGCAUUAGUUAGUUGGUGAGGUAAAGGCUCACCAAGACCGUGAUGCAUAGCCGACCUGAGAGGGUAAUCGGCCACACUGGGACUGAGACACGGCCCAGACUCCUACGGAGGCAGCAGUAGGGAAUCUUCCACAAUGGACGAAGUCUGAUGGAGCAACGCCGCGUGAGUGAAGAAGGUUUUCGGAUCGUAAAACUCUGUUGUUGGAGAAGAAUGUAUCUGAUAGUAACUGAUCAGGUAGUGACGGUAUCC